RNAcentral lists this long non-coding RNA (403 nucleotides) under Homo sapiens (human). RNAcentral describes it as "HSALNT0338505". Lineage: Eukaryota; Metazoa; Chordata; Mammalia; Primates; Hominidae. The record is from RNAcentral.
CAAAGAGGAAACGAAGCACUUUUGUCCCUGCGCGUCAUUCUAACCAUGGAUUGUGGGUCCUGAGAAUAUCCACUAGACUUUCACAAGUCACCAGUCAUGGAUUUCAGGAUCUGACUCUUGUCAUCUUGGGAGACGUCAGGAUCUGACUGCUCGUCUUCACGGGAGACGUCAGGAUCUGAAUGCUUGUCUUCAUGGGAGAGUCAGGUCAUUUCUCGUGGUGACUGGAGAAAGCUCUCUACAGAAACGCCUGUCAUCCAUGCCUUCACCUACGCGAGAGCAUCCUCUGCUCCCUAGACCACACCAGGACAGUUCUGCACGGACCUAAGGAGCUCACAGCCCAGCCCCCUCCCCGGGGAAAUCUCUGCACUCCGGACUGGUAAUUUCCAGGGCAUGGUCUGCCUUU